UGCCGUGUCAACUGUAGCCAGUGGCUGCGGCUCCCUCUGUCUGGCGUCAUCUAGGGCGCUGCUCAGGAGAUUGCGGAGGCCAGUUAGCCAGUUGGCUUACGUGUUUAUCGCGUAGGGCAAGACUUGCCAAAUUCCCAGCCAGCGGAGCGGCGAGGCUGGGGACUUACGGGAAGUUAAAGAGCUUCGUCGGCGGCCUCGCGGCUCCAAAACCAGGCUCUAGGCGGCGGCGACCGCAGCCGUUAGAGGCCACCGCGGCUACGACCGCAGGUGAGGCCGCCCCAGGCGGAGCGGAGGCCUGGAGGGGAAUCUUGAUCCUGGGCCAGACACCUGUCAAGAGGAGGCGGAGCGUCGUGCCUCCAGGAAGACUGGAUGAGUAUUCUCCAGGAGCCGGACAAAGGCUUAAUGAAGACAAAGACUUCCAGGGUCAUCAUGCUGUCCAUCUGCAUCAGGCUAUACAUACUUUUGAAAUCCCAGAGGUCUUCAGUCUCCCUGUGGGUCAAGGAGAUGUGCAGUAUUUAAAGUGGAUUGAGGACGGCAUGGAAGAGGAUUGAGUGGGGAAAGCUUUUUGUGCAUUCUGCUGGCUACCUCCAGCGGCUGCCUCCAGCCUUCAUCAACUGCACUCUGGGGAAGAGGAGGACACCUUCUACCUCCCAGCAUCUCUGGAUUCCAUGUUCCCGUCGGCACGGAGGAGCUAAAAAUGGCCUGUGGAGGCUGAAGGUCUGAGGCUCCUAAAGCUGGAAGAAAAGGCUGAGCCAGUCAGGCCAAGUAAGAACAUAGUGUAACUUGUCUCUGAGUGCUUCAUGGUUAACGGGGAUAAGGGGGCAUGAGGGCCCCAGGAUGGUUACAUGUAGUGACUGAAGGGAAGACGCAGUGAGGGUGAGACUUGUCAUCUUGAGUCAGUAGGCCUACCUCAAGUGCCUAGGAUGUAAUUGCUUUGCUGCUUCUCAUGGGGAGGAGUGGUCCUAGUGACCUUGUUCACCUGGAAGAGUGUGGGAUGAAUGUCUCCUCCUACGGGGACUGGCAAGUGCUUUAUCAAAAGGAUAAAUUGCUAAUGGUGGCAUUUCAUGGAUCAGCAGGAUUAUUUCUCCUUGCUAAAGAGGCUUUUGUUGGUCCUGAAUUCUGAGGAGGUGGGACUACGAAUGGACUCCAUGAACCUGUGUAUGACUCAGGGAAUAUUAGGACUUUGGCACAGCCUCAUGGGUUGGGAGUAAGUCUUGGCUCUUCCCUAGCCUGAAUGACAGGUAUCAGAUAAUUCUGGUGUUUUGUCAGUGAAGAUGUAGAUUCUGAGCGCACAAAACUAACCUUUUCACUUGAACACAGAAAUAGCCCCAGGAAUCGGACAGACCUGUGUCUUUAGGUUUGUUUCAUUGAGCUCCAGGGGUUGACAGUAGUACCUUGGGGACUGCCUGCCUGGGGAUUUUUUUAAAAGCGUUCUUUGUUAAAGGUUUGUAAACCACCCCUCUGAGCCAGUUUUCAUUUUAUACAUUACUGCAGGAAACUGAACUGCAUGGAGGUCCAGAAAGUGGGUAGUGCAGGGUGUAGUGCUGAUAACUACUGUACUUCUUGGAUCUUCGUGCUCCCAAAUACCAAAUGGAAGACAAUCUCUGAGAGUCCUUUGCAAAGAUCUUGUAGGGACUUUAGGCUGGGGCCUUUGGAAAGUUCCUGAGGAUUCCAAUGGAGAUUUUGAGGGAUUAUCUUAGAACAACAAAGAGAAUGGUAAUGGUGAUGUCCUUGCUUUUUACAACAGAUCAUGUUGUGCUAUAUAUGGAAACCUGUGUAAAGUAAACCCUAUCUAAAAUGCGCUGGGGACCCAAGGUGGACUGCCUGUAUUGCUUCCAGGAUAAACUCCAAUUUCUAGCUCUGGUUUUUAUAACCUUGCUUCAGCUCACCUUUUCCAUCAUUGUCCCCUGCAUCUCCUCUCCCACGCUGGGAAAUGGAUGGCUCCACUAUACUGUGUGAUGUUACUGCUAUGUUCAUGCCGUCCCCUCUGCCUGGAAUGCCCUUCUGCAUGAAUGCCUGUGAAAUGUUGCUGCUCCUUUGUAUGGCCUGGCUUCCAUGGUUGGCAGGAAUCUCUUCUUUUGUGGUAUUCCUGCCAUCUUUGUGCAUCACAGUCAGCUUCGUAUUCCUAGAUUGUAAGCUGCUUGAGGACAGGGGCAUGUCUUGCACCUGUUUGGCAAAUUGAUGUUUAAAGUAUUUAAAUAACUAAAGCUCUCUUUACAGUACAUAGUCACUUUUGAUUUAUGGAAUUGGCAAAAUUAAACUUUUUUCCUUGAAUAUUCUUAAAGUGAGACUAAUUCCAAAGGAGAUUUUUCUGUCUGUGGCCUUCAUUGGGUGGUUUGCUGUUACCAGAAAGCUCUUAGUGGCCUUCCUCUUCCCUGGUGUCAAGGUUGACUGUAAUAGGAAAUGGGAGGGGAAAGGGCCAUUUCUGCCAGGCAUUGUCAUAGGUUCUUAACAUUAUAUAAUCCUUAUAAUGCAAUGUUUUCCUCACUUUACAGAUGAAACCUGAGACCAGAGAACAUGUAACAUGUAAAGUACGUGGCAGAAUUAGGAUGUGAACCCAACUCUGAUUCUAAACCUAAUGCUCUUACUCUUUCAUUCAGAGGUUCAGUCAGUUCUUUGUAGGCCAUAGAUCCAGAGAAGCUGCUGUAGCCAACAAUAAAGUUGUUAGUUUUUAAAACAUCUAUAUGGUGUUGGUCUGGCACUUAAAAUGUAUUGUUUGCUGGGCACGGUGGCUCACACCUGUAAUCCCAGCAUUUUGGGAGGCCAAGAUGGGCGGAUCACGAGGUCAAAAGAUCGAGACCAUCCUGACCAACAUGGUGAAACCCCGUCUCUACUAAAAAUUAGCUGGGUGUGGUGGCACAUGCCUCUAGUCCCAGCUACUCGGGAGUCUGAGGCAGGCGAAUCACUUGAACCCAGGAGGCAGAGGUUGCAGUGAGCCGAGAUCUUGCUACUGCACUCCAGCCUGGCAACAGAGCGACACUUCGUCUAAAAAAAAAAAUAAAUGUGUUGUUUACUACUCACCACAGAUCUGCAGGAGUUCACUGAUCUCUAGGGUCUGCCUUAAUGCCAGCUUACGUGGUUUGGUCACUAUUACAAACCGUCAUCCCAGAAUGAUGAUGCAGAGGCUAGGGCUAGGACCCAGACCAGUGUUUCCACAUGGGAAUUCCCUCCCAGUAUUUCUUCGGAAAUGUAUGUUUUUUGAAUCCAUAAACCCUAGAAAAAUCAGUUGAGGAAAUGAGAAGUAUUGUAAUUAUUCUGUGAAUACUAACACUUACCAUUAUAGAGACAUUACUAGUUUGAAAGAAUCCAACUUCAUCAAAUACUAACAUACUGAAUUGAAGGCUGUAAGAACUGAGACAGGAGUAUAGUAUCAGAGAGAAACAGUCACCAUCUAAUUAGCCCUACUUUUGGUUGCUGUGAUGUCAUUAUGUCUGUAUGUCUGGCCAUAUCAGCUGCUAAUGGUGAGUUCUUGCAAAUAAAAUGAUUUGAUAAACAACCUAGCAUACUUUAUACAAAUCUUAUGGUGUUCUGAGAAAUAAACUGUGGAAGCAAAAUAA
This is a long non-coding RNA of Macaca fascicularis (crab-eating macaque), 3557 nucleotides long. The record is from Ensembl. NCBI's taxonomy places the organism in Eukaryota, Metazoa, Chordata, Mammalia, Primates, Cercopithecidae.